UUCCUACGGGGCGCAGCAGUGAGGAAUAUUGGUCAAUGGGAGAGAUCCUGAACCAGCCAAGCCGCGUGAGGGAAGACGGCCCUAUGGGUUGUAAACCUCUUUUGUCGGAGAACAAAACCCGGGACGAGUCCCGGACUGCGUGUAUCCGAAGAAAAAGCAUCGGCUAACUACGUGCCAGCAGCCGCGGUAAUACGUAGGGUGCGAGCGUUAAUCGGAAUUACUGGGCGUAAAGGGUGCGCAGGCGGUUGAGUAAGACAGAUGUGAAAUCCCCGAGCUUAACUCGGGAAUGGCAUAUGUGACUGCUC
RNAcentral lists this ribosomal RNA (305 nucleotides) under uncultured bacterium. RNAcentral describes it as "bacterial SSU rRNA". It matches the Rfam family "Bacterial small subunit ribosomal RNA", at positions 336 to 638 of the family's 1533-position model. The record is from RNAcentral.